GUGUUACGUGCCUUGUUAACUCUGACAAUCAGAAUUGUAUGUAUAAAUUGAUGCAUGAGACACUGACCCCUGUGCUAGGAGUAGCUGCAAGGGUGGAGAAUAGGAAGAUGGUGGGUCACGAAUGAACACAGUAAAAGGAUGCAACAAGUCAGGCUGAAGUAAAAGCAGCAUUCACGGAAUCAAGGAAAUAACGCGGAAUCAAGGAAAUAAAGCAGAAAGGCUUUACAAUUAUUUGUGUACAGGAUAUUUUAUUUUACUCCAAAUGGAAAUGAAUUUAACUGAACAUGCUCGUUUCGCCGUUUAUCUUAAUGGGAUUUUGGAAGUGUUGGAAAACAGAACAAAGGAUCAACAAACGAAGAACAACGAAAAUGCCCACGUGUUCAUUUUAGUCAUCAUUAUAUUUUACGCUGUUCUUGCUGUAGCGCUGCUGCUUUCUCAUUCCAAAGCCACACUGAAAGAGAACAAGAACGACCCUUAUCACAUCUACAUCAAGAAGAACUGGAACGCCGCUGAUCCGGCAAAAGGGCCACAAGAAGACGACAAACACAGGGUCGAGUUUGAACACUUGCUUUAGUUGAAGCGUUUGCUUCUAUUUUAUAGGAGCUCAGAUGACACUAAAUAAAACAUCGGACACUGAAAAUCCAGAAUUAAACUGAAGAACUCAAUACGGGACAUGCUUUAGUUGCAACUUUAAUUGUUUAGGGCGGGGGAAGUAAAAACACAAUUGUUUUUUAGACAUUUGAAUGUGAUUUUUCGCGUGUGAAACAGUACUAUUAAAGUUCACUUAAUGAUGCAACAAGCGUCUUGCUGUUGGCAUCGUUUAUCAGAUGUUUCUCUUUUUUUUUUUUUGGACCGCUGUCCUGGGUCAUAAGUAUCCCCGCUACUCAGUCUGCCCUUCCUAAGGUAGCCGCUAAUGGGUUCGUGUUAAAGGGAAAACGGGAACGCCCAAGAACGGAAAUGUAAUGGAAAGUAAUGAAAACUUGGGAGGCUACUGAUGGAAUACGAACUUCAGACAAAGUUACACAAUUGGAGCACGGCAAUAUAAACUAAACUGGAUCCACUUAUGCCGCAGUACAUAACACAUGUUCAUUGUGGCGCCCCGUUUGAAAAAAGUCGACCAUACAUUAUUAUUUAUCAAGAUAUCUCAUUGUUGAGAGCUGUGUAGAAUAAUAGCUUCAAAAUAUUUCAGGUUGGUGGUGGUGGUACAGAUUUCAAGCCUACUGAGCUUCUGAGAACCUAGCUUCUCUGUAACUUCUCGCUCCUCAAAUGCGCCACAUACGUUGCAUUAAAAAAAGGCUUUUAAAAUUACACAUUUAAAAACAAUAACACAUGCUUGCGAUUUAUUUGUUUUCAAAACCUCGUACAAAUGCAGGUAGUAAAAAAAUAUUGCAGCUCUUUAAUGUUUAAAUACACAACACGACUGCGUUAUUGUUUUGACUUUGUUAAUACUGCUGCAGUAAUAUUUGUGUUAAUGACACAAAAAACACGAUACGUUCCAGUUUUGUAAAAGUGUAUUGCAGACAGUUCUUGAACUCCAAUUUAACAACAUGCAUUUGAAAAAAUCUAACAUGUGUAGUUUUAAAAUAGGACUUAAAACAUUGUGGUGACUUUGUAAAUACUGUAGUAGAAUUGUUGUGAUUUGUUUCUUUUCAAAUGCCACUUUUAAAAGCCUGUGCUUGUAGCAUAUGUAACCGUAUGUGUUCUGCAAACUAUUUAAUUUAACAAAGCCACACGACUAUACUAUCCACGGUAAGAUCUCAGUGCUGUACAGAAGUAAUGUACUACCAGCGCAACAAGAUAACAGUUCUGGAAUAACAUUGGUUUUAUGGGUGUGAUUCAACAAAUAUUUGUGGACUUACAGUAACAGCUUAACAAUGAUUUCCCUUAUUAUAAAAUGCGUUUGCAGUGUGAAUGCAGAAAAUUAUUUGGCUAGCAGCCCUGUAAUUGAACAUGAAUCCCAUUUUCAUACUGCUUAUAUAGCCUAUGCAUGAGCUAGAUUGUACACUUUAAAUUAUAUAUAUAUAUAUAUAUAUAUAUAUAUUUCCAUGCGUUAUACUGAUCUGUGUUUUCCAGAAACAUUACUGUUUGAAACAUAAUAUUCUACUCUAACACAAACUACAUUCUGGAUAUUGACAAACAUUUUAAAAAUACAGUUAAAAUAUGUCUUUGUAACGGUUUACCAUCAAACUAUAAUUCCCUGUGAAAUGCAUUACCAUUUUUUAAAAAUGUUAAUUCCUUAUAAAAAUGUGCAAAGUAAAAGGUAAAAUGUAUCUUUUGCCUCAUUCUAAAUGUAUAUUUUCUUUUUAUGAUAUUAAAAAUCCAACCCCCAAAA
Acipenser ruthenus (sterlet) is the source of this 2332-nucleotide long non-coding RNA. RefSeq lists it as uncharacterized. The record is from RefSeq and is a predicted model, not a curated record. The transcript is spliced from 2 exons. Lineage: Eukaryota; Metazoa; Chordata; Actinopteri; Acipenseriformes; Acipenseridae.